UGUGACUGCAGGACACAUGAACAUCGACUUUUGAACGCAUAUCGCAGUCCAUGCUGUUAUGUACUUUAAUUAAUUUUAUAGUGCUGCUUGGACUACAUAUGGUUGAGGGUUGUAAGACUAUGCUAAUUAAGUUGUUUGAAAAUUUUUUUGAAAUUUUCGAGCAUAUGGUAUAUUAUUGGAUAUUUUUUAAUGUGUAUGUGUCUGAAGGGAGGCAUACAUUUGUAAAAUAAUAUUCAUAAUAUUAAAAUAUUUAAAUGGAAGGUACUAUAUCUCAUUGUAUAUUUUGUAUGAGAAAAUUGAAGAUAUAUAUUUCUUUUUUCAAAUCAAAUAAUACUGAGGAAGGUCUAGCAUAAAAGAAAAAUUUUAAUUUUUUUUUCAUCUAGAAUUGCCUCUUAUUAAUGAUGCGUUAAAAAGAAUUGUUGUAAAUAUUAUAGAUCUUCAAAAUGUAUAAUUAGUAGAAUCCAUUAUAUUGAACAAAAUAAUAUUUGUUCGAUUAACAUUGUUUUAUACAACCUCAACUCAUAUGGGACUACCCCCUGAAUUUAAGCAUAUUAAUUAGGGGAGGAAAAGAAACUAACAAGGAUUUUCUUAGUAGCGGCGAGCGAAAAGAAAUCAGUUCAGCACUAAGUCACUUUGUCUAUAUGGCAAAUGUGAGAUGCAGUGUAUGGAACAUCAAUAUUCUAGUAUGAGAAAUUAACGAUUUAAGUCCUUCUUAAAUGAGGCCAUUUACCCACAGAGGGUGCCAGGCCCGUAUAACGUUAAUGAUUACUAGAUGGUGUUUCCAAAGAGUCGUGUUGCUUGAUAGUGCAGCACUAAGUGGGUGGUAAACUCCAUCUAAAACUAAAUAUAACCAUGAGACCGAUAGUAAACAAGUACCGUGAGGGAAAGUUGAAAAGAACUCUGAAUAGAGAGUUAAAUAGUACGUGAAACUGCUUAGAGGUUAAGCCCGAUGAACCUGAAUAUCCGUUAUGGAAAAUUCAUCAUUAGAAUUGUAAUGUUUAAAAAAUAUUAUAAUAAUAGUGUGCAUUUUUUCCAUAUAAGGACAUUGUAAUCUAUUAGCAUAUUAAUUUAUCAUACAUUUAUGUCAUUUUGUUUGUUUCAAUUAAAGUGCUUGCAUUUUAACAUGAAAUAAAAGUUGUAAUAUUGAUAAAGUGCUGAUAGAUUUAUAAGAUUACAGUGCGUUAAUUUUUCGGAAUUAUAUAAUGGCAUGAUUAUCAUUGAUUUUUAUGUUUAUUAUAUGCACUUGUAUGAUUAACAAUGCGAAAGAUUCAGGAUACCUUCGGGACCCGUCUUGAAACACGGACCAAGGAGUCUAACAUAUGUGCAAGUUAUUGGGAUAUAAACCUAAUAGCGUAAUUAACUUGACYAAUAAUGGGAUUAGUUUUUUAACUAUUUAUAGUUAAUUAACACAAUCCCGGGGCGUUCUAUAUAGUUAUGUAUAAUGAUAUUUAUAUUAUUUAUGCCUCUAACUAGAACGUACCUUGAGCAUAUAUGCUGUGACCCGAAAGAUGGUGAACUAUACUUGAUCAGGUUGAAGUCAGGGGAAACCCUGAUGGAAGACCGAAACAGUUCUGACGUGCAAAUCGAUUGUCAGAAUUGAGUAUAGGGGCGAAAGACCAAUCGAACCAUCUAGUAGCUGGUUUCCUUCCGA
RNAcentral lists this ribosomal RNA (1651 nucleotides) under Drosophila hydei. RNAcentral's name for it is "eukaryotic LSU rRNA". The stretch from base 510 to 1651 matches the Rfam family "Eukaryotic large subunit ribosomal RNA", at positions 1 to 964 of the family's 3401-position model. The record is from RNAcentral. Lineage: Eukaryota; Metazoa; Arthropoda; Insecta; Diptera; Drosophilidae.